This is a non-coding RNA of Microcebus murinus (gray mouse lemur), 2189 nucleotides long. Lineage: Eukaryota; Metazoa; Chordata; Mammalia; Primates; Cheirogaleidae. The record is from RefSeq and is a predicted model, not a curated record.
UUCACUGGACUCUGCGGCUCUUCCUGCACAACCCUCCUUCCUCCUCCAUCUCCUCUCUCCUUUUACAGGGGUCAGACCUGCAUCCCACUUGGCAGACCCCCCUGCCUGUCCCUGCUCCUUCUCCCCCCUUUCUUCACAGGAGUCUUCCCCAUAGAUCUUUUGCAUAUCAAACUCGAUUUUGGUAUCUGCUUCUCCGAGGACCUGAACCGACACAGUGAUCUGUGCCUCUUCGUGACAAAUCAGGGUGCCUGAGAAUGGCGUCCCCUCUCAGAUGUGACUCGACUUCCGCUUUCAAGGCAGAAUUCACCAGCUGGAGAGGAGCUGAGGGAAAAAAAAUAUGAAGAAGAACAUAAUCUACAAUCAAUCAUGGGGCUUGUGAGGGCAUCCUGAAGGCUAAACAUGGUUGGAUCACCUGUAAACUCCUGGGCAAGAUGAGGCUUGGGUGAGCACCAUCAGUGACUGAUGAGUAUAAUACUUUAACAGUUCUCUCAGUCAUUCAACUGUUUUUGUUUUGUUUCCUUUUGUUUUCUUGUGCAAUAAGGAAAGUGUUUGCUAAAACUGAUGUAUUUCAAGUGUUUCAAAUUGUCCUACACAAUCAUCAUUCCACAGAGGAAACUCUACAUCCAGAAACGAUAUUAGUGAGUUGGAAUUAAUUUAUGUAUUGUAGGUUUCCCAUGGGUUCUCAUUAGCACUUUUUUCUUUUUACUCAUCCUUGAGUAUGGAGAGUUCUAGCUUGGACUGUUAGUAUAAAAAUUGAACUAAUCACAAUGCCUAAAUGGGACUGAUAAUGAAAAUCUAUAUAACCUAGUUAUAACUGGGUAAAGAGAGGAUUAUACAGUAGGAAAGUAAAAUUCAGGGAUCCCAAGGAGUAUCUGGCAGCAUAAUUUUACCAGUCCAGUUUAUCAAUAACCAUCAUACAAUAGAAGGGAGCUAAUUCCAUGAAUAGAUCCAAUAGGCAAAGUUUUUCUAUGAACAUUUUUCUAUAUAGCAUUUUUUUAAAUUUAUUUUACACUUGAUCUCUACUCAAGGUGACCAUGGAAUGAAAAGGGUCUACUUCAGAAAUAUCUGUGAAGAUGUCGCCUUGAUUCCAGAAAGUGUCCCCCCAAUUCAGAAUGAACUUAUCUGCCAUUCUGAUGAAGUAUUAGACCAGAGUGAAUCUAUAUUGUCAUCUAAAUUUAAUUUUGCUGUGUUCACCUGCAUUUUGCUUCUUGUGUGUACCUUUGCGGAUUAAUGAAGGACACCUUCAAGUCAGAACAGGGGUGUUUUUGUAUUAGGAAUCCACAUGAACUGGCCAUUUUCAAUCUAUCACUAUGGCCUCUAGAAAUUUUUAUUCUGUUGAUCUACAAUGAAGGAUCAACAACUGGAACAGUGCUUGUCUCACACUGCCAUUAUCCCUUGCCCCCCAAAUUGGAAGAUGCUAAGGGAGUUUGUUGAACUUUUUUCUUGUUGCUUCUGGCAAUAGGGCAUGGGAAUGAUUUUUCAUUCUUUUGGCCCCCCUAUAAGGGAUUAUCUGUAUGGAUGACACCUCUGGAGUCAUGCAGUGCAAUGUUUGCAUGGCUGUAUAUGGCCCCAUGACCUUCUUUCAUUUGUUUCCUCUGUAAUAUUUGAUCAAUAUUGCUCUAAGCUCACAUAUGUUUUCUAGUAUAAUUGCUGAUAAUGCUUUUCCCUACUAUUAUUUUUCUUUGGACAUUUGUUAAUUCUCUUGGAAGACAGUCUGGCUAGUUCCUGAAAGGACACAACCCUAUCUCUCACCUUCUGUCUUCUAAUGUCUCCUGGCCAACUCCCACUGUCAUGAUGCCAUGAUUUUACUGGUUUCUGUGUGCUGAUAUUUCCCCUGAGACUCUGGCCCAAGUGUUGAAGAAAAAAAAGACACUUUGUAGUAGACAUUUCUUAUUUAUACAGAUCCAGAAUUUGUUCUUCUUUGGUCUGAAUUAGCACAUUGCUUUUCCUCUGGGGAACCACUCCUGGGCCUCUGUGUGGUCUGGUGGGACAUCCUGAGUGCCCUCCCUCAGCCCUUACUGGUGCCGGUGACCUAGGUGACCAGUCAGAAUCUAUCACCCCCAUGGCAAUGGCUAUUGGUUCAAGGUUAAAUACAUCACUCAAAUGGAAUAAGUCAGGUUUGGCCCUGAGAGUUGAUUUGGUCUCUGGGAUAAAAAAUUCACUCUUAUAUUCAGAAACCAUGAGCAAUA